GACAGCGAUCGGCAACAUUGGGGCAUUCCAUUCUUGAGCGUGAACUGAGAACGCAAUUGUCAAUCGUCAAAUGAAAAAGCUAAAUUUUUUGAAAAUCGGACAGUGGGGAGAUCGAGGAGUCGACGAGCGUUGAAAUCGAUUGAAGGAUUUGUUCAAUCGAUCUUCAUCUCAAAUCGACUGAAGUAUUCUGUGGUAUGAUUUGCCGAUUCCAUUCCUUCCUCUCUGAUUCUUGUCUUCUUGAUUUCUAAUCGAUCUUCAAACACAACCCGGAGACUCGAUUCUUGUCUUCAUCUCUGAUUAUUGUCUUCUUGAUUUCUACUUACUGAGACCUGAGUUCGAAGACAUCAAACACAACCCACAGCUUGGAGAAAUCAAACACAACCGACAAGUCGACAACCUAGAGACUCGAGACCUGAGUGCCGAUUUGAUUUCUAUUCUCAUCCACUCGACUUCUGCUCUUCAACUGAUUAGGGUAAGAAACAUAAGGAUUAUAAUUUUGGGAGGCUGAUUUUUAUUUAUUUUAGUCUCUUGAAAGAUUAUAGACAUCUUCAAAGUGGGAAAUAAAAACGAAAACUUUGGUCAGGUUGUAUCUUUCUUUGCUUAGCUUUUAUAACUAGAUUUAUUGAUUUUUUUUUCUUUGCUUAGCUUUUGUAACUAGAUUUGCUAAUUUUUAAACAUGUUUCCCCGAAAACAACCAUGAUCAGGUGCUCAAAAUAGAAAACGAAAAAGAAAAGAACAAGAAGAGGCUAAUCAAUUAAGAGGGUCUUUGAAUAAAUAUUUUGUUAGAAAUCAAAGUUCUAAUGAUCCGGUUAAUAAUUUUAAUGUUCUAUCUAGUACUUCCAAUGAUUCGGUUGAUAUUUCCAAUGAUUUUGAAAAAAUAAUUUUUUUUGAUAAUGAUAAACCAAGUGAUUUUAAUAUUUUUGAUCCUAGAGUAUGGGAUGAUUUAGAUUCAAAAAUGAAAGAUCUACCAAUAGAAAAAGGGCCAAAUAGAGAAGUUGAUACCAACACAAUUUUUUCAAAAGAUUCACUUGGUAGACAUUUUUCAUUGUUUUUUUUUUAUUCGGAAAUUAAGAAAUGGUGAUUCUUUUGAUAGAAAAUGGUUAGUGUAUUCAAAAGAACUUGAUAAAGUUUUUUGUUUUUGUUGUAAGUUGUUUAAAACCGUUCGAACUAAAAGUAGUUUGGCAACCGAAGAAAUUAAAGAUUGGAACCAUCUUAGUGAAACAUUAAAACAACAUGAAAAUAGUUCCGAUCAUAUGGAUAAUUUAAGAACUUGGAAUGAAACGCGAAUUAGGUUAAAUAAAAACGAAACAAUUGACAAAGAAAUUCAAGAAAUGAUAAAAAAAAAAUACCGAACAUUGGAAAGAAGUUAUGGUUAGAAUUAUUUCUGUUGUAAAAUGUUUAGCAAAAAAUAAUUUAGCUUUUCGUGGUACAAAUGAAAAAAUUUAUGAAAACUCAAAUGACCAUUUUUUAAGUGUAAUUGAAUCGAUUGCGGAGUGGGAUCCGGUAAUGAAAGAACAUUUUCGAAUGAUUCAAGACAAAGAAACAUAUAAUCAUUAUCUUAUUCAAAAAAUUCAAAAUGAAUUAAUUGAAAUGUUAGCAUCCGAGGUAAAAUGUGCAAUUAUUAAAAAAAAUCAAAAAGGCAAAAUAUUUUUCUAUAAUUCUUGAUUGCACUCCGGAUGCUAGUCACCAAGAACAAAUGACUUUGAUUAUAAGAUGUGUAAAUUUGGAAAGUGUUCCAUUAAAAGUUGAAGAGUUUUUUUUUAGAGUUUUUAAUUGUAAAGAUACAUCCGGUCUAGGUCUUUUUAAUGUUUUACAAGAUGCCUUAAAAUCUCUUGAUUUGGAUAUUAAUUAUGCUCGUGGUCAAGGGUAUGAUAAUGGGGCAAAUAUGAAAGGUAAACACCAAGGUGUUCAAAAACGAUUGCUUGAUAUAAAUAAUAGAGCUUUUUAUAUGCCUUGCGGAUGUCAUAGUUUAAAUUUGGUUUUGUGUGAUAUGGCAAAUUCUUGCCAAAAGGAAAAAACUUUUUUUGGUACAUGUCAAACGAUUUAUAAUGUUUUUUCUAAUUCAACCAAAAGAUGGAGUGUUUUAUUUGAGUUUAUUAAUGAUCUAACACUUAAAUCAUUAUCAGCUACUCGUUGGAAAAGUCAUAUUGAAUGUGUUAAAGCAAUAAAAACACAAUUUUAUCAAAUAAGAAAAGCUUUAAAAAAAUUAUCUAAAAUAAGUGAUAAUGGACAAGUGUGUAGAGAUGCUGAUUCACUAGUAAAUUGGUGAAUUUUCUAGUUUUGAAUUUAUUUUAAGUUUAGUUAUAUGGUAUGAUAUUUUGUACAAAAUUAAUUUGGUAAGCAAAAAGUUACAAUCCAACGAAAUGCUUCUUGAUGUUGCUGUAAAAAAUUUAGAGGGGUUAAUUAAUUAUUUUGAAGGAUAUAGGGAAAGUGGGUUUGACUUUGCUAUUAGUGAAGCAAAAGAAAUAGCAAAUAGUGUUAAAGUUAAACCCGAAUUUCCUCAAAAACGCAAUAAAAAAAGAAAACAACAUUUUGAUGAAAUUCCAAAUACCGAAAGAGAACACCAAUCUUCUCAAGAAGUAUUUAAAAGGGAUUAUUUUUUUAUUCUUGUUGAUAUGGCUCUUGUUCAAUUGAAAAGUAGAUUUGAACAAUGCAAUAUUUUGAAUCGAUAUUUGGUUUUUUGUUUGAUGGUUCCAAAUUAGUUUUUUUAGUUGAUGAUGAAUUAAAGAAAUGUUGUUUAAAUCUUGAGUCCAAUUUGAAAAAUGGUGAAGAUUAUGAUAUUAAUGGAGAUGGUUUAUUCAUUGAAUUAAAACUUUUGCAGAAAAUGUUGCCGGAUGAAGCAUACAAAAGUCGAAGUCCUUGGACAUCUAUUCAAAUAAUGGAGUAUGCAAGAAGAAUGGAUAUGUUCCCUAAUGUGUUGGUUGCAUAUAGGAUAUUAUUGACGGUGCCGGUUACGGUUGCUUCCGCGGAAAGAAGUUUUUCAAAAUUGAAGCUUUUGAAAUCGUAUCUCCGAAGUACCAUGACUCAAGAAAGAUUGAAUGGAUUAGCAAUUUUAAGUAUUGAAAGUGAUUUUUUAAAAAAUAUUGAUUAUUGUAAAAUAAGAGAUGCUUUCGCUUUAAAAAUUGCGCGAAGACACCAUUUUAGGUGAUUUUUUGUAUAUUUUAUUUGUAUUAUUUGUUUGAUCAUAAAAAAUUACUGCAUUUUUUAUAUUAGAAAUUACUACAUUUGUUUGAUUA
Non-coding RNA from Lactuca sativa (garden lettuce), 3236 nucleotides. The record is from RefSeq and is a predicted model, not a curated record. Lineage: Eukaryota; Viridiplantae; Streptophyta; Magnoliopsida; Asterales; Asteraceae.